UAUACGUUCUACAUAUCCCCAGAUAGCUCAGAUCUGAGCGCACAUUAUUACCGAAUGGCGCUCAGAUCACAUACAUACAGUUCAAUCGCCAUGGAGCCAAAGUCCUUCACAUAGUCUUUUCGUUACAUGAACAGGCUCCAUGGCUUAGCUAUCUGGGUGAUGCUGUUCAUCCGGUUAAACUACCGAAUGAACAGUCAUUCGGUUCAGCUCUCGAAUGGGAAGGGAAGGAGGCUGGCGGCUCAGCGGUGUUCGCGCAAUUAAGUGUCCGUUUUCAG
Molecule: non-coding RNA, 275 nt
Organism: Pelobates cultripes (western spadefoot toad)
Lineage: Eukaryota; Metazoa; Chordata; Amphibia; Anura; Pelobatidae
Source: the annotation of a GenBank genome assembly